CCUACGGGAGGCAGCAGUGAGGAAUAUUGGUCAAUGGGAGAGAUCCUGAACCAGCCAAGCCGCGUGAGGGAAGACGGCCCUAUGGGUUGUAAACCUCUUUUGUCGGAGAACAAAACCCGGGACGUGUCCCGGACUGCGUGUAUCCUACGAAAAAGCAUCGGCUAACUCCGUGCCAGCAGCCGCGGUAAUACGGAGGAUGCGAGCGUUAUCCGGAUUUAUUGGGUUUAAAGGGUGCGUAGGCGGUCCGUUAAGUCAGCGGUAAAAUUGCGGGGCUCAACCCCGUCGAGCAGUUGAAACUGGCAGACUGGAGUGGGCGAGAGGUACGCGGAAUGCGCGGUGUAGCGGUGAAAUGCAUAGAUAUCGCGCAGAACUCCGAUUGCGAAGGCAGCGUACCGGAGCCAGACUGACGCUGAGGCACGAAAGCGUGGGGAUCGAACAGGAUUAGAUACCCUUGUAGUC
Molecule: ribosomal RNA, 459 nt
Filed under: uncultured bacterium
Lineage: Bacteria
Description: partial 16S ribosomal RNA
Rfam family: Bacterial small subunit ribosomal RNA
Source: RNAcentral